AGUGAACGCUGGCGGCAGGCCUAACACAUGCAAGUCGAGCGGCAGCGGGUCCUUCGGGCUGCCGGCGAGCGGCGGACGGGUGAGGAAUGCAUCGGAAUCUGCCCUGUCGUGGGGGAUAACCUAGGGAAACUUAGGCUAAUACCGCAUACGACCCACGGGUGAAAGCGGGGGAUCGCAAGACCUCGCGCGAUAGGAUGAGCCGAUGUCCGAUUAGCUAGUUGGCGGGGUAAAGGCCCACCAAGGCGACGAUCGGUAGCUGGUCUGAGAGGAUGAUCAGCCACACGGGGACUGAGACACGGCCAAGACUCCUAGGGGAGGCAGCAGUGGGGAAUAUUGGACAAGGGGCGCAAGCCUGAUCCAGCCAGGCCGCGUGGGUGAAGAAGGCCUUCGGGUUGUAAAGCCCUUUUGUCCGGGAAGAAAUCGUCUGGGCUAAUACCCCGGGCGGAUGACGGUACCGGAAGAAUAAGCACCGGCUAACUUCG
This 482-nucleotide ribosomal RNA is filed under the name uncultured bacterium. RNAcentral's name for it is "partial 16S ribosomal RNA". It matches the Rfam family "Bacterial small subunit ribosomal RNA", at positions 30 to 505 of the family's 1533-position model. The record is from RNAcentral.